CUUUAAGGCAGUGGAAGUUAAGCUUGAUUUGGGUGGGGGCACAUUGGGAGCCACUUUGGUGCACAGUGGAUUUUGUUAAGAAUUGAGUGAUGGAGGGCACCCAAGACCAGUUUAAUGUCACUAGCUCCAUCUUCCGGCUUCAUUUGGGAGCCGACUUCAUUGCUAGGGGUGAAGGAUGACAUCAGAGUGAGUGAUACAAACUGUCCUUGGAGUCUUCCAGACCAGGGCUGGCUCUAGUGUGCAGCAGCAGUUGAGUGAAUUCAUUUAGGAAAAUACAUGAGGAUAGAUCUCACUCUCCGAUGCCCUUGUGUGACCAUAAAGCACCAGCUCAGGCCUGUCGCUCAAGGUUUGACUUUACGACUUUCCUGGCUGAGAAUGCAGAAUGGUUGGAAUUUUCCUGUCAAAUCUAAAUUGUUUAUCUUUGCAUUCUCUUCGCCCCAGCAAUUCUACCUCUAGGAAUUUAUCCUUCAGCUGUCCUUGCAUACAUGCCAGAUGACACACAGGAGCUUACUUGUUUGUAACAGCAAUUGGUUGGAUGUGACCUAAAUGCUCAAUAGAGAACUAGUCAGAGAAUUGAAUACUAUGCAACAGUGAAAAAGAAAAGGAAACUGUUCUGGAAUACAUGUUGGUAAAGUAAAAAACGCUGCAAUGCAGGACAGGCCAAAUUUGCCCCAUUGUAUAAAAAGGGAGUAGAAAUUAUAUAUGCCUAUUUGCUCAUAUAUGUAUGAAAUAUUUCUGGAAGGAGAAAGAAACUAAUAACAUGAGUUGCCUCCAAGGAUAAAGAAACUGCAUAUCUGUGAGUCAGAGAAGGAAGGAAGACUUUUCACUCCCAUUCAUACUUUUAUAUUUUGAACCAUAAAAGCAAAUUUGUGUAUUUGUCCCCUUUAGGAAAUAUUCUUCUCUCUGUCCUGCCUUUAUGAAGAAACAGAUCCAUCCAGUGUUCCCAUUCCCUACUCUCACAUGGAUUCCUCUCUCCACUGAAGAAACCCAAGUCUCUCCAUCACCUUGAAGUGACUGUGAGCCACCAGUAAGACAACUGGGAAGAGGCAUGUUCAUCAAGACUGUUACUAAACCCGCCUGCUCAUGGCUCCUCCCAUCUCUAAACAAGCCCACACACCCACUUCUACCUUUGCCACAGGAUUGACACAAAGAGGACCCUAGAGAUAAACCCCUUGGGAGGAGGAAGUUGCUAGUUGUUUUGGCUGGCCUGAAAACCACAAAUAAACUUCAGAUUUGGUUCUUUGCCAAGGGUGAUGGUGUUGAGUUCCUUUCUGAAAUAGUAUCAAAAUGCCACCUCUGGCCAUUCUUAUCAUCUCCCAACAAAGUGGGAAAGGACAGCCAGAGAGAAAACAAAGGCCCAGACAGAAAAAAAGACUUGUAAUUGCAACUGUGUUUCAGGGCAGAAUCAUCUCAGGAACCCAGGGCUGCUGGGUUUCUGGUCAUGUCUCAGACUUGCUUUGGUUGGCUCCUUGGGUUUUUGUGGUGGUGGUGGUUUUGUUGUUGUUGUUGUUGUUUGCUUUAUUUUGGUUUAUUUUUUAUGUUCUGAAUCUCUGAAACAGAACCUGGAAGCGAGGCCUGGGAGUCAGAACAUUGAAGAGCUCUUCUCAGGCCUUGGGUUAGUUAGCAAGCAUCAAGCAAGUCCCAGAUAGGGGCUGAGGAGGUGCUUUGAGGAGGGCGAAUACAGGCCUCUGUUUCCCUUUUCUGUUGCCUGUACCUAGCCCUCAGGUUAUCUGCGCACCAAAGAGGCAGAAAAACAGUGGCUAAGAACAUAAACUCUAGAGUAAACAGGCUGGGAAUAAAUCCCACUUCCCUGUUUAUUACACUUUCUCAAGUAAGUUGCCUGACCUUUAAUGCCCCCAUUUCCUCUCCUUAGAAAGGGUGUGCUCUGUCUCAGUGGGUCAUUCAGUAAUUAGUAAGAAGAAAGAAUUUACCAUGUGUAAUGUGCUCGGAACAAAGCCUGACAUGAAUAUCUACUCAGUAGGAAUGAGCUGUAUGGUUGCCUGUCUCUCUUUUUUUUUUUUUUUAAAGAGAGAGAGAGAGAGAGAGAGAGAGAAUUUUAUUUAUUUUUUAGUUUUCGGUGGACACAGCAUCUUUGUUUGUAUGUGGUGCUGAGAAUCGAACCCGGGCCGCACGCAUGCCAGACGAGCGCGCUACCGCUUGAGCCACAUCCCCAGCCCAUUGCCUGUCUCUCUACAUGAGAAAUUUUGAAAGACAGACACCUGAGAAACUAUAGGAAUUUUAUCAUUGAAACUGCCUGUUCAGAAUAACCCUGGAUUGGCAGAAGCCUUCUUCACCUCUGUAAGGACCAUAUUGUAGCUCUGGAGCAAAACUCCAAUUGCACAUCACUGUGGGAGAAAAACCAGGCAGCAGACAAUGGAUCCAAGUUUCUCAGGAAAAAAUAUAAAUAUAUUGUAUGCCAACUAUUCAUUUCCAGAUUUUUCUGACCCAGGAAUAAGAAAUGAAAAUAAUUUUGUGUAUGAUAGAUUUUAAAAAAGUAAGAAAACGGAGGACUAGGGAUGUGGCUCAGUGGUAGAGCACUUGCCUAGCAUGCACAAGUGCUGGGAGCCAUUAGCCAAGUAGGUAUGACAAUUUCCUUGCCAGCGUACCCCAUGUUGCUGACAUGUUGCAGUGACAUUGAAUGUAGGUGACCUUGCUCAAGGACCAAGACAGAUUAGGGUGUUCCCGGUUUUAAGAUAAUCGUGUUUAGGGCGUUCCCAGUUUAGGUUCCAGGUUUAAGGUUUAAGAUUAUUCCUGAUGGGAAUAGGGCGUAUCCUGCUGCCUGAGUUCCCCUUGAGUUCUCAUGGGAUUCAGACAGUAUAUUUUGGGAGACAGAAGCCCAGUGGAGGAGGAUUUGGGAAGAGAACGAGGAUUUCCCCAGAACGUGAUUGUAGACGGCUGGUGUGAGUUCGGGAAUAAAGAGUUGCUGUUUGAAUCUACAAGCUGUGUGGUGGCUCGUGAUUGUGUGCCCAGCCAGACUGCGGCAUUUGUGCCCAGCCAGACUGCGGCACACAAGGCCCUAGGUUCAAUCCCAGUACCACAAAAGGAAAAAGGUAAGGGGACAAUUCAGGUCCUUGA
RNAcentral lists this long non-coding RNA (3075 nucleotides) under Marmota monax (woodchuck). Lineage: Eukaryota; Metazoa; Chordata; Mammalia; Rodentia; Sciuridae. The record is from RNAcentral.